UUCCGUAGGGUGAACCUGCGGGAUGGAUCAUUUCGAUGAAAAACCUUUUUUUUCUUGAGGUUGUGGCUCGCACCUGUCCAACUAAACUUGAGCUACCUUUUUCUAACACGGUUGCAUCGGUGGAGUGCCUGUCAUGAAAAUAAUACUAUUUUGUGGCUCGGCCUCUACACUUUACACUCAAACACUUUGGAUCUUCUAGGAUUGGAAAGAUAAUUUUAUGACUGGUCAUUCGGUCGUUUAAAUUUAAAAAACAACUUUUGGCAACGGAUCUCUUGGUUCUCCCAUCGAUGAAGAACGCAGCGAAUUGCGAUAAGUAAUGUGAAUUGCAGAAGUGAAUCAUCGAAUCUUUGAACGCACCUUGCGCUCCCUGCAGAUCUAAUCUGGGGAGCAUGCCUGUUUGAGGGCCGCGAAUUGUUUCGAACCGAUCCUUUUUUUUAAGUAAGAAAGGGUUGGAUCGGUAUUGAGGGUUUUUGUUGCCAUUCACCGUGGCUCCCUCGAAAUACAUUAGCGCAUCCAUUUGAUAGGCAAGAACGGACGAAAGCUCCUUGUUUUCGCCCUCUCUUUCUUCCCUGCCGGGUUUUGAUAACAUCAGGACUUCGGAGGCGAAGAAAGGGCAGGUUCUUGCUGUUUGGCGUGCUUCUGAACCCCACCCAGGCCCCUCUUCUUCGAGGGGAAAGGGAUUUAAAUAAUUCAAUC
Molecule: ribosomal RNA, 696 nt
Filed under: Anthracocystis anthracoideispora
Lineage: Eukaryota; Fungi; Basidiomycota; Ustilaginomycetes; Ustilaginales; Ustilaginaceae
Description: eukaryotic LSU rRNA
Rfam family: 5.8S ribosomal RNA (bases 253-407)
Source: RNAcentral